Osmerus eperlanus (European smelt) is the source of this 334-nucleotide long non-coding RNA. RefSeq lists it as uncharacterized. The record is from RefSeq and is a predicted model, not a curated record. Lineage: Eukaryota; Metazoa; Chordata; Actinopteri; Osmeriformes; Osmeridae. The transcript is spliced from 2 exons.
UUUACAAUUUCAUGGAAAUCUUCCAGUGCAUAUAAUUAUUAUUUUUUGGACCCAAUCACUGCAGUUGUUUUAUGUUGUAGUUCUUUCAAUUCAGUUCACUUUGAAAUAAUGGUCCAGAUCACAGUUACUGCGGGAUGACAAGGUAACGCUUGAUUAAUUAGUGAGGAGCUAACAUGUUUUUCACAAGUAAUAUAAUAAGUCAUUUAAUUUUAUAUUUGACACAUACUGUACAGGCAUACAUUUCUGUGAGGCACUAGUGAUAUUCUAACAAACAUUGUAAUCUGGAAGAUGUGGUUUUGCGCUUAUCGCAACAUAAAUGCAGCCCAUGUCUUCA